CGGUGAGGUAGAGGUGCGAUCAUCAAGAGUAUUCAAUGGAAGCCAUGACAAGCCAAGAUCAUUGAAGAAAGGGGUGAUUGCCGAAGACUGUGGUUGAGAGUCAAUCAAUCUUAGUCUGGUGUAAUCUCUUAAGAGGGGAGACACUGUCAUGCAUGCUUUUUGGGUGCAUGGAGCGCUACUGAUCGA
RNAcentral lists this non-coding RNA (186 nucleotides) under Halobacillus mangrovi. RNAcentral's name for it is "Lysine sequence". It matches the Rfam family "Lysine riboswitch aptamer". Rfam says of the family: Riboswitches are metabolite binding domains within certain messenger RNAs that serve as precision sensors for their corresponding targets. Allosteric rearrangement of mRNA structure is mediated by ligand binding, and this results in modulation of gene expression. This family includes riboswitches that sense lysine in a number of genes involved in lysine metabolism, including lysC. The record is from RNAcentral. Lineage: Bacteria; Bacillati; Bacillota; Bacilli; Caryophanales; Bacillaceae.